GACGAACGCUGGCGGCGUGCCUAAUACAUGCAAGUAGAACGCUGAAGCUUGGUGCUUGCACCGAGCGGAUGAGUUGCGAACGGGUGGGUAACGCGUAGGUAACCUGCCUGGUAGCGGGGGAUAACUAUUGGAAACGAUAGCUAAUACCGCAUAAGAGUAGAUGUUGCAUGACAUUUGCUUAAAAGGUGCAAUUGCAUCACUACCAGAUGGACCUGCGUUGUAUUAGCUAGUUGGUGAGGUAACGGCUCACCAAGGCAACGAUACAUAGCCGACCUGAGAGGGUGAUCGGCCACACUGGGACUGAGACACGGCCCAGACUCCUACGGGAGGCAGCAGUAGGGAAUCUUCGGCAAUGGACGGAAGUCUGACCGAGCAACGCCGCGUGAGUGAAGAAGGUUUUCGGAUCGUAAAGCUCUGUUGUAAGAGAAGAACGAGUGUGAGAGUGGAAAGUUCACACUGUGACGGUAUCUUACCAGAAAGGGACGGCUAACUACGUG
RNAcentral lists this ribosomal RNA (497 nucleotides) under uncultured bacterium. RNAcentral's name for it is "partial 16S ribosomal RNA". It matches the Rfam family "Bacterial small subunit ribosomal RNA", at positions 28 to 507 of the family's 1533-position model. The record is from RNAcentral.